GACGAACGCUGGCGGCGUGCUUAACACAUGCAAGUCGAACGGAAAGGCUCCAGCUUGCUGGAGUACUCGAGUGGCGAACGGGUGAGUAACACGUGGGUAAUCUGCCCUGCACUCUGGGAUAAGCCUGGGAAACUGGGUCUAAUACUGGAUAUGACCUUUCUCCUUAUGGGGUUUGGUGGAAAGUUUUUCGGUGUAGGAUGAGCCCGCGGCCUAUCAGCUUGUUGGUGGGGUGAUGGCCUACCAAGGCGACGACGGGUAGCCGGCCUGAGAGGGUGAUCGGCCACAUUGGGACUGAGAUACGGCCCAGACUCCUACGGGAGGCAGCAGUGGGGAAUAUUGCACAAUGGGCGGAAGCCUCAUGCAGCGACGCCGCGUGAGGGAUGACGGCCUUCGGGUUGUAAACCUCUUUCAGCAGGGACGAAGCGUAAGUGACGGUACCUGCAGAAGAAGCACCGGCUAACUACGUG
This 467-nucleotide ribosomal RNA is filed under the name uncultured bacterium. RNAcentral's name for it is "partial 16S ribosomal RNA". It matches the Rfam family "Bacterial small subunit ribosomal RNA", at positions 28 to 507 of the family's 1533-position model. The record is from RNAcentral.